This 223-nucleotide unclassified non-coding RNA is filed under the name Hevea brasiliensis (rubber tree). The record is from RNAcentral. Lineage: Eukaryota; Viridiplantae; Streptophyta; Magnoliopsida; Malpighiales; Euphorbiaceae.
GUGAUAUUUAUCCAAAAAAGAUAAAAUGUUAUAAAACUUCCCCUUAAAUUUAUAAAAAACUAAGAGUUCAAAGUUCACACUAAAGAGAAAUCCUAGGACUAAAACGGGUUGACCCGUAUCUUCUUAACAGUAGCCAUCCCAGCUGACUUCACCAAGGAUGACUCCAACUACAGACCAAUCAUUAGAGGGAGACUGAGGCAGCCGAAGGAGAGGCUACACAUGU